This 73-nucleotide ribozyme is filed under the name unclassified sequences. Its description in RNAcentral is "HDV ribozyme from F. prausnitzii". It matches the Rfam family "HDV ribozyme from F. prausnitzii". The record is from RNAcentral.
GCCGCUCGGAACUUUGCACACCUCUCCGUGGUGAGUAGUAGGCAACGCUUGUAAAGCGGCUAAGAAUGCGAAG